RNAcentral lists this ribosomal RNA (404 nucleotides) under uncultured bacterium. Its description in RNAcentral is "partial 16S ribosomal RNA". It matches the Rfam family "Bacterial small subunit ribosomal RNA", at positions 28 to 526 of the family's 1533-position model. The record is from RNAcentral.
GACGAACGCUGGCGGCGUGCCUAAUACAUGCAAGUCGAACGCAGUGGGGACGGGUGAGUAACACGUGGGUAACCUGCCCAUCAGAGGGGAUAACACUUGGAAAAAGGUGCUAAACCGAUAUUGAUGGAUGGUCCCGCGGUGCAUUAGCUAGUUGGUGGGGUAACGGCUCACCAAGGCCACGAUGCAUAGCCGGCCUGAGAGGGUGACCGGCCACACUGGAACGGAGACACGGCCCAGACUCCUACGGGAGGCAGCAGUGGGGAAUCUUCGGCAAUGGACGAAAGUCUGACCGAGCAACGCCGCGUGAGUGAAGAAGGUUUUCGGAUCGUAAAACACUGUUGUUAGAGAAGCGGUAUCUAACCAGAAAGCAACGGCUAACUACGUGCCAGCAGCCGCGGUAAUUC